GAGGACUUGGGCAGCUGCAGCCAACCAUUGGCAGAGGCUCGGGUCCUGGCGGCGGGUGAAGGUAGGGGCCAGAGACCUGCAAUUCUGGACAUCUGGACAGUGACCAGCUGGUGCCGUGGGGGAGAUAUCUCGUUAGCCAGCGCGCAACUGAAGAGACCUCUGUGGAAUCCCAAUUGGAAAGCGAAAAUUGAGAAAGUGGACUUACACUGACACCUGCUGGAACAACAUCAGGUCCAAAAACCGGGGAUAAGUUGGAGGUUGACCUUCUGACCGCAUGGUGCAGGGACAACAACCUCCUGCUGAACGUCAACAAGACCAAGGAGAUUGUUGUUGACUUCCGGAAGGGUCACACCCAACACCUGCCGCUGACCAUCGACGGUGCUGUGGUGGAGAGAGUGAGCAGCACCAGAUUCCUGGGGGGGGACAGAGUGAGGAUCUCUCCUGGUCCACCAACACCGUAUCACUGGCGAGGAAAGCUCAGCGCCGUCUGUACUUCCUGCGGAAGCUCAGGCGAGCUAGUGUUCCUCCGGCCGUCAUGACUACAUUCUACCGUGGCACCAUUGAAAGCAUCCUCUCCAAUUGUAUCGCUGUUUGGGGUGGUAGCUGCACUGAAUGCAACAGGAAGACCCUGCAGCGCAUAGUGAACACGGCUGGUAAGAUUAUUGGUGAUUCACUCCCCUCCCUGAAGGACAUUUACACCUCCCAUCUCACCCACAAAGCGACCACGAUUGUGAGCGAUGUGAGUCACCCCGCUCACUCUUUGUUUGGUCUUCUGCCCUCUGGAAAGAGGUACAGGAGCCUGCGCUCCCACACCGCCAGGCUCACCAAUAGCUUCAUACUCCAGGCUGUUAGGAUCCUGAGCUCUCUCCCCCCUUCUGCGUAGCGUUCUGUACUUUUGCGCUAUGUGAUUCUGACUGUAUGCUGUAUGCACACUUGCUCCAUUUUUGCUCUUAUUUAUGAUGUCAUUUGUUUAUUUUUUAUUUAUUUAUCACUCUUAUUUAUUCACUGUUUGUGCCUUCUUGUUUUUAUUUGUUUGUGUUGUUUACUUGUAUGUAUAUUGUGUACUAUGUCUUGUCACCGUGGGAUAGUGGGAACAUAAUUUCGAUUGCUUUGUGUGUCUUGGCAUGUGAAGAAAUUGACAAUAAAGCAGACUUUGACUUUU
Long non-coding RNA from Syngnathus typhle (broad-nosed pipefish), 1162 nucleotides. RefSeq lists it as uncharacterized. The transcript has 3 exons. NCBI's taxonomy places the organism in Eukaryota, Metazoa, Chordata, Actinopteri, Syngnathiformes, Syngnathidae. The record is from RefSeq and is a predicted model, not a curated record.